Molecule: ribosomal RNA, 116 nt
Filed under: Salmonella enterica
Lineage: Bacteria; Pseudomonadati; Pseudomonadota; Gammaproteobacteria; Enterobacterales; Enterobacteriaceae
Also listed under: 2 other names
Source: RNAcentral
CCUGGCGGCACUAGCGCGGUGGUCCCACCUGACCCCAUGCCGAACUCAGAAGUGAAACGCCGUAGCGCCGAUGGUAGUGUGGAGUCUCCCCAUGCGAGAGUAGGGAACUGCCAGGC